Oryza sativa Indica Group (long-grained rice) is the source of this 205-nucleotide microRNA precursor. It matches the Rfam family "MIR812 microRNA precursor family". Lineage: Eukaryota; Viridiplantae; Streptophyta; Magnoliopsida; Poales; Poaceae. The record is from Rfam.
CAAAAUCUAAAUUAUGAGUUUCCGUGUCUAAUUUUGAUCGUCCGUCCUAUUUAUAAAAAAAUAAAAAUAAUAAAAAACAUAAGUCACGUAUAAAAUAUUGUUCAUGUUUUAUCAUUUAAUAAUAAUAAAAACUACUAAUCAUAAAUAAAUUUUAAAUAAAACGGAUGAUCAAAAUUGGACACGGAAACUCAUGACUGCGCUGAAA